RNAcentral lists this non-coding RNA (30 nucleotides) under Mus musculus (house mouse). The record is from RNAcentral. Lineage: Eukaryota; Metazoa; Chordata; Mammalia; Rodentia; Muridae.
UAAGGGCCAUGAUGGUUGGUUGUCCUUUUC